GGGUGAGUAACGCGUAUGCAACCUACCUUGUACUGAGGGAUAGCCCGAAGAAAUUCGGAUUAAUACCUCAUAGUAUUAUCAGAUGGCAUUGUUUGAUAAUUAAAGCUCCGGCGGUACGAGAUGGGCAUGCGUCCCAUUAGCUAGAUGGUGAGGUAACGGCUCACCAUGGCAACGAUGGGUAGGGGGCCUGAGAGGGUGGUCCCCCACACUGGUACUGAGACACGGACCAGACUCC
This 235-nucleotide ribosomal RNA is filed under the name uncultured bacterium. RNAcentral describes it as "partial 16S ribosomal RNA". It matches the Rfam family "Bacterial small subunit ribosomal RNA", at positions 104 to 339 of the family's 1533-position model. The record is from RNAcentral.